CUAAUCAUAGCUCUUUAUUUUCGGGUUGGGCUUCAAAUCACAAUUGAAUGGGCUUUGUUUCACUUCCGGGUUAUGAGUCGAAUGUGUUUCGGUUUUGUCGUUGUUUUGGUUUUAUCUUUUAACUAAGUCUAGAUCUACGGAGACGAAGUCGCGAGUCUGCGAGUCUCUUCUCCUCAUCCCCAAUUCACUUCGUCUUCUCACUCUCAAACCGUAGCUUCUGAGUUUUUUCAUCCUAUUCUUCACAAUCAAUUUCUUCUUAGCGAAGGAGAUGAGGAAGAGAAGCGCGAGAAAGAGGAGAGCCGAGGCAAGGCCACCACUGGUGCCCGAUCCGAGAGAGGAAAUUGGAGGCGAGGAGGUAGAUGUGGGGACGCUUGGUCUUGGAUUCGUCGGCGCCGGAUUCGCCGGGAUAAGAGAGAUCGGCGUCGGAGUGAGGACGGCGGAAGGAGAGAGCGCGAUCGAGCAUCGUCGUCGCGUUGGCCCGUAAACCCAUUAACGAGGCCUAAUCAGAGAGCGCACCACCAAACCGUCACGAGGAUCUCUAUCUCUUUCUCUGUUGCGCAGGAGACGAUCUCCAUCUCUAUUCGUCCUUUCCGAACCUGAGAAACGUGAACGGAGAUGGUACCUUUGUCAUUAUCUCAACAUAAUCUCUGGCCGCCGGAAUCUGUAUCUACGGUGUUUCGGGGUUACGCAACCGCCACAUUGAAACACGCCUGCGACCAUCUUCGCCGUCACCUCCGGCUUGGCUUCCAUAUCCGCUCUUCCCUUCAGGUUCAAGCUAACUUACUUCUCUUAUAUUUUUCUCCUAAAGUUUUGAACUUUGGAACAAAAAAGGUUUAAACUUUCUUCACCUGUGUGCUUUGUGAUUAGCUCUUUUGCAAUUCUAAUUGUAAAAAGGUUUCAACUUUCAAUCACGAUCAUAGCUGCUUUCAAAAUUUAUCUCAUUUUGUCUUCGACUCUCUGUCUCUCUGCUGCUUUUGACAGAUCCUGCUGCAAGUCUAUGAGACUGCACGAACGGAGUUCUCAGGAAGAGUCGUUGUAUUCAACAGGGCUAAGUUUCUUCACUCCAGAGAUGAUAUCAGAUCUUCGUUAUCUGUAUGUUUCUUUAGUGGAUGAGAGAGUAGGAUAGGUCCUAGAGGUGAGGAGGGGUCAUCAUCAAACCAGGAGACAUCCAAGAGAAACACAAGCAGUGGACGGAGGUGGACCAACGUCCUCCUUGCCGUUAACGUUAGGUAAUGUGUUUAGUUCUUCUCUCUGUUACAUGUAACAAUAGAUCAUGUCUUUUGGUUUGAGAUGUUGCAUUAGAUAAAUGCUUUAGGCUUAUGGGUUUCAUUCUUGUGUCAUGACAGAAUGUAUAUUGCACAAGUUGCAUCCAAUGGUAGAGUGCUGACAUGGGGAGCUAAGGUAUCAUAUUCAGAGACUUGAUUAAAUACAAGAGGGAAACAAUUUGAUAUCUGAAUAUCUCUGUUCCAUUUCUCUUAAGUCUAUCUCCAAUGAAUUUUUUUGGUUCUUACGAUAAGCCAACUCAUCUAAUAGCUUUUACAGAUAAAACGUUGUUUGUUCUCUUCUCACCGCUUGCUCGAAACAGCUCAACGUUGGCUGCAACUCUUACUUGGGACAAUGAACUGUCUUGGAUGCUGGAGAAUACUACUGAAGAACUUAAAGAGACUAUGCUUUAGGUUUCUUCUGUUGUUAUGAGGUUACGUAUAGGGAGUCUCUAGGAUUAUAUGUUCUUAGCAAGAAUUAUGUUCCCACAAAAGGAUCGCAUUACAUUGCUGUAAAGAAGGCUUUGGAGAUGAUUAAGCAAAAUAUUUCAUCUCUUAGUAAGAGUGAAGGGCAUGAUGCUUAUCACUUCUCUCUGCAACUAACUGGUGCACCAGCUCUUAUCGGGAACACGAUAUGUAUAUAAGUAGUCUCUUGGUGAAUUAUGUUUGAUUCACAUAUCUUGAAGAAAUUUUUGUUAAAGAUAUUUUCAUUUUGUAUGACAUACAUCUUUGUGCAAUCACCUGAGAGGAUUUUCCAAAGGAACCGGUUAGGCGUCAGCAGUGAAGCUUUGACUGCAACUAGGCCUCGAGCUGCUUCAACUGCGUGUGAUAUCGAGAUAUAGCAUGACUUACUAACCAGUCUAUAUGUGAGAAAAAACUGUGAAGAAGCUUGCAAGAUUGCAGCACAUAUAUUCUCAAUUGGCGGAGAAGCUGAG
Brassica napus (rape) is the source of this 2197-nucleotide long non-coding RNA. RefSeq lists it as uncharacterized. The record is from RefSeq and is a predicted model, not a curated record. The transcript is spliced from 5 exons. Lineage: Eukaryota; Viridiplantae; Streptophyta; Magnoliopsida; Brassicales; Brassicaceae.